RNAcentral lists this ribosomal RNA (506 nucleotides) under uncultured bacterium. RNAcentral describes it as "partial 16S ribosomal RNA". It matches the Rfam family "Bacterial small subunit ribosomal RNA", at positions 30 to 523 of the family's 1533-position model. The record is from RNAcentral.
AUUGAACGCUGGCGGCAGGCCUAACACAUGCAAGUCGAGCGGCAGCGGGAAGUAGCUUGCUACUCUGCCGGCGAGCGGCGGACGGGUGAGUAAUGUCUGGGAAACUGCCCGAUGGAGGGGGAUAACUACUGGAAACGGUAGCUAAUACCGCAUAACGUCGCAAGACCAAAGAGGGGGACCUUCGGGCCUCUUGCCAUCGGAUGUGCCCAGAUGGGAUUAGCUAGUAGGUGGGGUAACGGCUCACCUAGGCGACGAUCCCUAGCUGGUCUGAGAGGAUGACCAGCCACACUGGAACUGAGACACGGUCCAGACUCCUACGGGAGGCAGCAGUGGGGAAUAUUGCACAAUGGGCGCAAGCCUGAUGCAGCCAUGCCGCGUGUAUGAAGAAGGCCUUCGGGUUGUAAAGUACUUUCAGCGGGGAGGAAGGUGUUGAGGUUAAUAACCUCAGCAAUUGACGUUACCCGCAGAAGAAGCACCGGCUAACUCCGUGUCAGCAGCCGCGGUAA